This is a long non-coding RNA of Vanessa tameamea, 450 nucleotides long. RefSeq lists it as uncharacterized. The record is from RefSeq and is a predicted model, not a curated record. NCBI's taxonomy places the organism in Eukaryota, Metazoa, Arthropoda, Insecta, Lepidoptera, Nymphalidae. The transcript has 3 exons.
AAGAAGCUGUAUCAGCAAGAAGUAAAGUUACAAAACGAAUAUGUCAAACGACUUGCAAGGGAUGCUCUCCCAAACAUUUACAAACUACAUUCCCCCGUGCUUUCAGCGGAGACAUGGAAACAGGAAGCUGGGCUUAUAGGGAGGCAAGAUUUGAAGCCUUCUUUUGAACAGAGUGCUAAUUGUGAAGACAGUCUAUGGGUUAAAAAUAUAUUGAAUAGAAGUUCCGGUGACGUAACUGUUGUUGAAAGAAAAAGUUCACCGCUCGUUCUAAACGAACAACUUCAGCCGAACGACAAUGAGACGCUGCAAUCGAUGAGUAUUGGUGAAAUAAUACCGAGACCUGGUCCUCCACAACAAUUCUUAUCUUUUUCUCCAAUUUUGCCUGAUUAUAUAAUCUGUAUACCUCCGAAAUUAGAUUUCAUAAAUUUCAAAGUCGGACAACUGCAUACG